This 1344-nucleotide ribosomal RNA is filed under the name metagenome. Its description in RNAcentral is "bacterial LSU rRNA". It matches the Rfam family "Bacterial large subunit ribosomal RNA", at positions 1564 to 2925 of the family's 2925-position model. The record is from RNAcentral.
UGAAUACGAGACGCUAAGGCGUCGAAGUAGUGUAUGUCAUGCUUACAAGAAAAGCUUGCACUGUCAUAGAUAAAAAACGCCUGUACCAUAACCGACACAGGUGGGUAGGUAGAGUAUACUAAGGGGCGCGAGAUAACUCUCUCUAAGGAACUCGGCAAAAUAACUCCGUAACUUCGGGAGAAGGAGUGCCUUAUUCGUAAGGUUGCAAUAACAAGAUCCAAGCAACUGUUUAUCAAAAACACAGGUCUCCGCUAAGUCGUAAGACGAUGUAUGGGGGCUGACGCCUGCCCAGUGCCAGAAGGUUAAAGAAGUCGGUUAGCAAUUGCGAAGCUGGUAACUGAAGCCCUGGUGAACGGCGGCCGUAACUAUAACGGUCCUAAGGUAGCGAAAUUCCUUGUCGGGUAAGUUCCGACCCGCACGAAAGGCGUAAUGAUUUGGAUACUGCCUCGGAGAGGGGCUCGGUGAAAUAGACUUGUCUGUGAAGAUGCGGACUACCUGCACCAGGACAGAAAGACCCUAUGAAGCUUUACUGUAACUUGAAAUUGAAAUUGGACUUUAUUCGCGCAGUAUAGGUGGGAGGCGUUGAUUAUAAUCUCGCGGGAUUAUUGGAGCCAUCAGUGAGAUACCACCCUUGUAAUGUUAGAUUUCUAACUUUGAAUCAUUAUCUGGUCAAAGAACAGUUUCAGGCGGGCAGUUUGACUGGGGCGAUCGCCUCCUAAACGGUAACGGAGGCGUACAAAGGUUUCCUCUGAACGGUUAGAAAUCGUAUCUAGAGUGUAAAGGCAUAAGGAAGCUUGACUGUGAGACCUACAAGUCGAGCAGGGACGAAAGUCGGUCUUAGUGAUCUGACGGUACUGAGUGGAAAGGCCGUCACUCAACGGAUAAAAGUUACUCUAAGGAUAACAGGCUGAUUUCCCCCAAGAGUUCACAUCGACGGGGAGGUUUGGCACCUCGAUGUCGGCUCAUCGCAUCCUGGGGCGGUAGUACGUCCCAAGGGUUGGGCUGUUCGCCCAUGAAAGCGGUACGCGAGCUGGGUUCAGAACGUCGUGAGACAGUUCGGUCCAUAUCCGGUGUAGGCGUUGGAAUAUUGAGAGGAGCCUUCUUUAGACGAGAGGACCGAGAAGGACAUACCUCUGGUGUACCAGUUAUCGUGCCAACGGUAAACGCUGGGUAGCUAUGUAUGGAGUGGAUAACCGCUGAAAGCAUCUAAGUGGGAAGCCCACCUCAAGAUAAGUAUUCUCAUCACGUAAGUGAGUAAGGUCACGGUAAGACUAACCGUUUGAUAGGCAUUAAGUGUAAGUACAGUAAUGUAUGUGCUGAGAUGUCCUAAUAGACCGAGGACUU